GAUGAACGCUGGCGGCGUGCCUAAUACAUGCAAGUCGAACGCAUAGCGAAAGGUGCUUGCACCUUUCAAGUGAGUGGCGAACGGGUGAGUAGCACGUGGACAACCUGCCUCAAGGCUGGGGAUAACAUUUGGAAACAGAUGCUAAUACCGAAUAAAACCUAGUGUCGCAUGACACAAAGUUAAAAGGCGCUUCGGCGUCACCUAGAGAUGGAUCCGCGGUGCAUUAGUUAGUUGGUGGGGUAAAGGCCUACCAAGACAAUGAUGCAUAGCCGAGUUGAGAGACUGAUCGGCCACAUUGGGACUGAGACACGGCCCAAACUCCUACGGGAGGCUGCAGUAGGGAAUCUUCCACAAUGGGCGAAAGCCUGAUGGAGCAACGCCGCGUGUGUGAUGAAGGCUUUCGGGUCGUAAAGCACUGUUGUAUGGGAAGAACAGCUAGAAUAGGAAAUGAUUUUAGUUUGACGGUACCAUACCAGAAAGGGACGGCUAAAUACGUG
Molecule: ribosomal RNA, 497 nt
Filed under: uncultured bacterium
Lineage: Bacteria
Description: partial 16S ribosomal RNA
Rfam family: Bacterial small subunit ribosomal RNA
Source: RNAcentral